Xenopus laevis (African clawed frog) is the source of this 205-nucleotide non-coding RNA. The record is from Rfam. Lineage: Eukaryota; Metazoa; Chordata; Amphibia; Anura; Pipidae.
AGUGCUCUGCGCCUGCCCCCAGAUCUCCAUCGGAAUGUAGAAAGGAUCUUAUAAAAAAAAAAAAGAAAACAAGAAGUUUGAAUUCCUGAAUGAUUUUUCUUGUAGAAAGGGGCUUAGGAUAAUGAUUUCAGCUUUAUUGAGUGCAGAUUAGUCGCAGUGUCGCUGCUGUCUCUCAAUACGCGCUGUACAUGCCUCUACAAUGUGC